UCUCUCCCUGACUCAUUGCUCUCAUUCCGCCGCCUCCAUAUUCACAAAUUGAUUUCCAGCCGCCUCCGCCUCUAAAUCCCGCCGUCUCCGCCUCUACACCGUGAAACUUCGAUUUCCAGCCACGACUACACCGUGAAUCGCGCGAUUUACGGCUAAUUUCUGGAAUUCCGAACGCCUACAACAACUAAACGGUGAAAUCAAUUCACAAGAAAGAGAACAAGAACCGAACCCGAUGAGGACGAGGUUGAAACAAGUAAUAGUGAAUGGAAUUUGAAUGAAGAAGAGUUUGAAGAAAUCAGCAAUAGCAUGAAUGAAGAUGAAACACAAUCUGUACAAGGAGGUUUAGCAGCGGGAUAUAAUAGAAUUGGGCUUCGGGGCACUUCUGAAUUUCAAGUUAAAUUACAGGCCUCCAAACUGAGGUUCUGGCUUGCAGCAUCCUUCAACCUAUAGGAGGGCCUGGGACAGAUUCCAAGCCAAAUAUUGUACAUCAAUGUUGUAUAACAACGACAAUAGGGUCAUUGGUUGUGUGUUGAGACUUGCCUCACAUCAGUUUGCGGAGGCAAAAAAGAGAGGACUGAUAGAUGUGGAGAAAAUGGUCGCAGAAUACAACAACAAACCAUCUUGGAUUGCUUCAUAAUGACAAUAGGGCCUAUGACUGCUGCAAUGAUGAAUGAAGUCUUGGCUGUUUAAAUGAACUCGUACUGAAACAUUAAGUUUUAUAGUUUUAUUUUUGGGUAGACAACAUGACUGACUUAAUUUG
This is a long non-coding RNA of Salvia hispanica, 760 nucleotides long. RefSeq lists it as uncharacterized. NCBI's taxonomy places the organism in Eukaryota, Viridiplantae, Streptophyta, Magnoliopsida, Lamiales, Lamiaceae. The record is from RefSeq and is a predicted model, not a curated record.